Molecule: ribosomal RNA, 397 nt
Filed under: uncultured Veillonella sp.
Lineage: Bacteria; Bacillati; Bacillota; Negativicutes; Veillonellales; Veillonellaceae
Description: bacterial SSU rRNA
Rfam family: Bacterial small subunit ribosomal RNA
Source: RNAcentral
GGAAAACGACUGCUAAUACCGCAUACGACCUACGAUUGGCAUCAAUCGUAGAUGAAAGGUGGCCUCUACAUGUAAGCUAUCGUUGUAGGAGGGGAUUGCGUCUGAUUAGCUAGUUGGAGGGGUAACGGCCCACCAAGGCGAUGAUCAGUAGCCGGUCUGAGAGGAUGAACGGCCACAUUGGGACUGAGACACGGCCCAAACUCCUACGGGAGGCAGCAGUGGGGAAUCUUCCGCAAUGGACGAAAGUCUGACGGAGCAACGCCGCGUGAGUGAUGACGGUCUUCGGAUUGUAAAGCUCUGUUAAUCGGGACGAAUGGUUUGUGUGCAAAUAGUGCAUAGACAUGACGGUACCGGAAUAGAAAGCCACGACUAACUACGUGCCAGCAGCCGCGGUAAU